Molecule: long non-coding RNA, 3551 nt
Filed under: Musa acuminata (dwarf banana)
Lineage: Eukaryota; Viridiplantae; Streptophyta; Magnoliopsida; Zingiberales; Musaceae
Description: long non-coding RNA (MACU_LNC003850)
Source: RNAcentral
GUUAGAGCUAGCCCCAGGAAAUUUACCACAAGGUAAUUUUGGCAACCGAACAAGACAAUAAAACGGAAAGAAUAAAAGCGAGACAAGAACAUCAGAACACCAGAUAUACGUGGUUCGGUCAAUUGACUUUGACCUACAUCCACGGACGAAAGAGGAGCAAAUUACUACUGCAAAAGAGGGACAAUUACAAAUGCCUUAGGAAGAUGUUCCUAGACCAUAAAACACCCAAAAAUACUAAACAAGAAAAACCAAACUAUAAGUCUAAACUAUUUAACUAAGUAUGGACUUAAACCAAAGCAAACACUUAGGUUUUUCUUGUGGUGCCACUUAUGGUACCUUUUGUGGUGCCUCUGACUUCAAAGCCCAGACCCUUAUUUAUAGUUUCAAGACGAGACAACAAGUCUGAUUUUCCCGAUGUGGGACUAUGGGACUUGCCAAACUAACAAAUCUCUACCUUGGCAUGUUCCAACAAAACUUGCUCCACCUUCUUUAAAAGCCCCAACGAGCAAUCACCAACAAUGAACACCAACCAAGUCCAAGCACUGCUUGAACUUGUAAAUCGGAAGAGGCUUCGUAAACAUAUCAGCUGGAUUGUCCUUCGUAUGAAUUUUCUGAACAAGGACCUUUCCCUCAGCAAUGGUAUCCCAUUUGCAUCCGACAAUUUUCUUACUCGAAGGCGGCUUCACAAGAUCCCAAGUUCUAUUCCGAUGGGGAGACUCAAUUUUUUCAUUCAUCGCAAUCAACCACUUAGCGGAAUUAUCACAAGAAACUGCAUCUGAGUAGGAAGUAGGCUCACCAACUUCACUUGUCUCUUCUGCAACAUACAAAGCAUAUGCAACCAAAUUGGCAUAUCUUUGUGGUGGUCGAAUAUCUCUCCGCGGUCUAUCCUUGGCUAUGGAAUAUUGCUCUUCCUCUGGAGCAACUGCAUCAGUAGACUCGGGACCAUCUACUGGCAUUCUUUAAGUAGAAGAGUUCGACUUAAAGGAAUCUGAACUACCAAUCUCAAGCUCCACCUGCUUCUGCGCACUAUCAUUUGUACAACUAGUAGAAUCCUCUUUGGAAGAUAACAUAAACAAUUUAUCAAAAGUAAUAUCUCUACUGAUUACAAAUUUUGGGGAUUUGGGAUCAGAACACCAUAAUCUGUAUCCUUUCACCCUAGAAGCAUACCCAAGGAAAAUGCAUUUUUUAGCCCGAGGCUCUAAUUUUCCUUCAUUUACAUGCAUGAAUGCUGGACACCCAAAAAUUUUAAAAUCAGAGUAAUCAGCAGGAGUACCUGAUCAAACUUCCUCUGGAGUUUUAAAGUUAAGUGCUGCAGAAGGAGCGCGGUUGACAACGUAACAGGCCAUAUUAAUCGCCUCUGCCCAAAAGUCCUUUGUCAACCCUACAUUUGAGAUCAUACACCUUGCUCUCUCCAAGAGUGUUAUGUUCAUACGUUCGGCCACACCAUUUUGCUGAGGCGUCAUCCUAACAGUGCGAUGCCGAACGAUUCCUUCAUUUUUGCAGAAUUCUUCAAAGUCACCUUCACAAAAUUCCAUGCCAUUAUCUGUUAGAAGCCGCUUAAUAUGUUUACCUGUUUGCUUCUCUAUCAAAACCUUCCAUUGUUUAAAGGUUAGAAAAAUAUCAUUUUUAUGCUUCAGAAAAUAAACCCAAACUUUCCUGGAAUAAUCAUCAAUGAAAGUCAACAUAUACCUAGCACCACCCUUAGACUGAACAUGAGCUGGACCCCAAAGGUCUGAAUGAAUAUAGUCAAGAGUACCUUUGGUUUUGUGAACUGCCGGAGAAGUGAAGCUGACUCUUUUAUACUUUCCAAAAAUGCAGUGUUCACAAAAGUCCAGUGGCCCAGUACUCUAUCCGCAAAGUAGACCUCUUUUGCUCAAUAUGCUCAAACCUUUUUCGCUCAUAUGACCCAAACGCAUAUGCCAUAAUUUGGUGAUGUCAGAAUCAGACAAUGAUGAUGACGAAACUGCAACCGAACCUGUGACAGUAGUUCCCUACAGAAUAUACAAGCUACCAGACCUACAAGCUUUCAUAACAAUAAGAGCACUUCUAGAAACUUUCAUAACGCUACCUUCAACUGUGUAUUUACACCCAAGGGCCUCUAGGGUGCCUAAAGAGAUGAGAUUCCUUUUUAAAUCAGGAACAUGUCUAACAUUAGUGAGCGUCCUCACAAUAUCAUCAUGCAUUUUAAUUCGGAUUGUGCCUCUACCAACAACAUCACAUGCGACAUUAUUACCCAUCAAAAUAAUUCCACCAUUACAAGAUUCAUAUGUUGAAAACAAAUUCCUAUUGGGACACAUGUGAUAAGAACAACCUGAAUCUAAAAUCCAUUUAUUUUUAGACCUCGUCCUGUCAUCAAUAGCAGAAAAAAUAUUUCCAACAAUCUCAUCAGUUGCUACACUAACUUCAGCGAAUUCAGUAGUUUUUUCAACAAAUUUUUCCUUUUGCUUUAAUUUAUUUUUCAAUUUAAAGCAAUCAGAUUUAAUGUGUCCUNNNNNNNNNNNNNNNNNNNNACAAAUUCCUAUUGGGACACAUGUGAUAAGAACAACCUGAAUCUAAAAUCCAUUUAUUUUUAGACCUCGUCCUGUCAUCAAUAGCAGAAAAAAUAUUUCCAACAAUCUCAUCAGUUGCUACACUAACUUCAGCGAAUUCAGUAGUUUUUUCAACAAAUUUUUCCUUUUGCUUUAAUUUAUUUUUCAAUUUAAAGCAAUCAGAUUUAAUGUGUCCUAUUUUAUGACAAUAUCUGCAUUCCAAAUUUCUAUGUCUGGAUUUAGAUCUAGAUUUAGAUCUACUACUGUCAAAUUCUCUUUUAUCCAUUCUCCCCCUAACAACCAGACCCUCAGCCUGAUUUUCUCUACUUUCCCCAGUGAUAUUCCUGUCUAUCUGCUCCUUAGAUUUCAGUGCAGAUUUAAUUUCUUGAUACAAAACUGUUUCUUUUUCAUAAAUCAAAGUAUCAUGGAAAUACUUAAAAGAUUGGGGAAGAGAACACAAGAGUAACAAAGCCUUAUCCUCAUCAUCAAUUUUUGCAUCUAUAUUCUCCAAAUCAAUAACCAAAGAAUCAAACUUAUCAAGAUGCGAGAGUAUAGAUGUACCUUCAAUCAUCCGAAGCAUAUACAGACUCUGCUUCAAGUAUAGACGAUUCUCCACUGUCCUCUUCAUGUACAAGGCUUUAAGCUUGUCCCACAUGCUCUUAGCUGUAGUCUCCGUAGCUACCUCCUGUAAAACCUCGUCAGAGAGAUUUAGAAUGAUGCUUGAUCGGGCCUUCUUAUCCAUACCCGCAAGCUCUUCUUUUGACAUAUCAUCUGGAAUGCUCUCGGCUCCAGUUUAUUAGAGCUAGCCCUAGGAAAUUUACCACAAGGUAAUUUUGGCAACCCAAUAAGAUAAUAAAACGGAAAGAAUAAAAGCGAGACAAGAACACCAGAACACCAGAUAUACGUGGUUCGGUCAAUUGACUUUGACCUACAUCCACGGACGAAAGAGGAGCAAAUUACUACUGCAAAAGAGGGACAAUUACAAAUACCUUACGAAGAUGUUCCUAGGCCAUAAAACACCCG